This 30-nucleotide non-coding RNA is filed under the name Rattus norvegicus (Norway rat). Lineage: Eukaryota; Metazoa; Chordata; Mammalia; Rodentia; Muridae. The record is from RNAcentral.
UGGGACCAACCAAGAUGAGUGCCUGUAGCA